RNAcentral lists this ribosomal RNA (378 nucleotides) under uncultured bacterium. RNAcentral's name for it is "bacterial SSU rRNA". It matches the Rfam family "Bacterial small subunit ribosomal RNA", at positions 432 to 793 of the family's 1533-position model. The record is from RNAcentral.
ACUUUCAGCAGUGAGGAAGGUGGGGUAUGGUUAAUAGCAUACUCAUUUGACGUUAGCUGCAGAAGAAGCACCGGCUAACUCCGUGCCAGCAGCCGCGGUAAUACGGAGGGCGCGAGCGUUAAUCGGAAUUACUGGGCGUAAAGCGCAUGCAGGUGGUUUGUUAAGUUCAGAUGUGAAAGACCCGGGGCGUCAACCUCCGGAAUUGCAUUUGAAACUAGGCAAACUAGAGUACUGUAGAGGGGGGUAGGAAUUUCAGGUGUAACGGUGAAAUGCGUAGAGAUCUGAAGGAAUACCGGUGGCGAAGGCGGCCCCCUCGGACAGAUACUGACACUCAGAUGCGAAAGCGUGGGGAGCAAACAGGAUUAGAUACCCUGGUAG